Molecule: long non-coding RNA, 247 nt
Filed under: Lathyrus oleraceus (garden pea)
Lineage: Eukaryota; Viridiplantae; Streptophyta; Magnoliopsida; Fabales; Fabaceae
Description: Pisum sativum (pea) long non-coding RNA (PSAT_LNC010500)
Source: RNAcentral
CUUUAUUGAAAUGGGAAAGGUAUUCCCUCAAUGACUCUAAGGGGCCUUGUCGAAUGUUAAACAAGCUAAUGGUGAACAUUUUCAUGUGUUGAUUGGCUGGGAACUAGUGCACGAGUUUCUUCACCAACUCUUGAUAGCUGGAAAUGGAAGAUCGAGGAUAUGCCUAUGUAUCAUCGCAUGGCUGCAUCCUUCAAGGUCCCAUACUACAUCUUGCAUUUUAAAGAGUUGGGCUCUCCGAUGAUUUCAU